ACUUGGAUAACCGUAGUAAUUCUAGAGCUAAUACAUGCAACGACGCCCGACCGUUUCACUACGGAAGGGCUGUAUUUAUUGGAUACCAAAACCAUCCUUCCCUCGGGAAGUUUUGUUUGAUGAUUCACAAUAACUGAUCGGAUCGCCACUGUGGUGGCGACAGGUCAUUCAACAUUCUGCCCUAUCAGCUUUCGAUGGUUGUGUAGUGGACAACCAUGGCCAUAACGGGUAACGGAGAAUCAGGGUUCGAUUCCGGAGAAGGAGCUUGAGAAUUGGCUACUACAUCUAAGGAAGGCAGCAGGCGCGCAAAUUACCCAAUCCCGAUUCGGGGAGGUAGUGACAAAAAAUAACAAUACCGGGCCUUUUUGGGCUUGGUAAUUGGAAUGAGGGAGAGUUAAACGGACCAUCGAGUAUCCAUUGGAGGGCAAGUCUGGUGCCAGCAGCUGCGGUAAUACCAGCUCCAAUAGCGUAUAUUAAAGUUGUUGCAGUUAAAAAGCUCGUAGUUGGACUUGUGUGCGCUGUCCGCGGGUGGCCUGCGCCCAAAAGGGCGUUUCGGUUCGGCCCCGGUGGCGCCUUGAAAUCUGCAGCUGGGGGGACGUUGGCCUUAACUGGUCGGCGACCGCACGCCGGCUGCUCUGUUACUGUGAGAAAAUUAGAGUGUUCAAGGCAGGCAUUGGGUGCAAUUGAAUACAUUAGCAUGGAAUAAUAAAAUAUGGCUCCUGCCGUAUUUUGUUGGUUUUGACUGGUGGGAGUAAUGAUUGAUAGGGACGGUUGGGGGUGCUAGUAUUGAGCGGCCAGAGGUGAAAUUCAUGGAUUCGCUCAAGACUAACUUAUGCGAAAGCAUUCACCAAGGACGUCCUCUUUAAUCAAGAACGAAAGUUGGGGGAUCGAAGACGAUCAGAUACCGUCGUAGUCUCAACCAUAAACUAUGUCGACUUGGGAUCGGCGGUAGUUUUUUCAUUAAGACACUGUCGGGACCACGGGAGAAAUCAAAGUGUCUGGACUCUGGGGGAAGUAUGGUCGCAAGGCUGAAACUUGAAGGAAUUGACGGAAGGGCACCACCAGGAGUGGAGCCUGCGGCUUAAUUUGACACAACACGGGGAAACUUACCAGGUCCAGAGAUGUAGAGGAUUGACAGAUUGAAGCUCUUUCUUGAUCACUUCGGUGGUGGUGCAUGGCCGUUCUUAGUUGGUGGAGUGAUUUGUCUGGUUGAUUCCGUUAACGAACGAGACCUCAGCCUGCUAGUGUAGUCGGCUGGAUUG
RNAcentral lists this ribosomal RNA (1262 nucleotides) under metagenome. RNAcentral describes it as "SSU rRNA". It matches the Rfam family "Eukaryotic small subunit ribosomal RNA", at positions 137 to 1370 of the family's 1831-position model. The record is from RNAcentral.